RNAcentral lists this ribosomal RNA (253 nucleotides) under uncultured bacterium. RNAcentral's name for it is "partial 16S ribosomal RNA". It matches the Rfam family "Bacterial small subunit ribosomal RNA", at positions 524 to 776 of the family's 1533-position model. The record is from RNAcentral.
GACGUAGGGCGCGAGCGUUGUCCGGAUUUAUUGGGCGUAAAGAGCUCGUAGGCGGCUUGUCGCGUCGUUCGUGAAAACCUGCAGCUCAACUGCAGGCUUGCGGUCGAUACGGGCAGGCUAGAGUUCGGUAGGGGAGACUGGAAUUCCUGGUGUAGCGGUGAAAUGCGCAGAUAUCAGGAGGAACACCGGUGGCGAAGGCGGGUCUCUAGACAACUCCUGACACUGAGGCACGAAAGCUAGGGGAGCAAACAGG